This 232-nucleotide unclassified non-coding RNA is filed under the name Chytridiomycota sp. Its description in RNAcentral is "partial contains small subunit ribosomal RNA, internal transcribed spacer 1, and 5.8S ribosomal RNA". The stretch from base 1 to 47 matches the Rfam family "Eukaryotic small subunit ribosomal RNA", at positions 1785 to 1831 of the family's 1831-position model. Lineage: Eukaryota; Fungi; Chytridiomycota. The record is from RNAcentral.
AAAGUCGUAACAAGGUAACCGUAGGUGAACCUGCGGUUGGAUCAUUAACAAUCCAGAAAAGGGGUCGCAAGAUGCCCUUUUCGACUUGGCCUCGCGCCUUGAACCCAAUGUGAAUUGUGAUUGUCUCUGGCUCAGAGUAUGACUUUUGGCCAGGUAAUUCUUGAACCUGAUUUUGUUUGUCUUAUGAAAUUCUUAAUGAAUACAACUUUUGACAAUGGAUCUCUAGGCUCUC